CCAUCUUCAUAUAUAUUAUUAUGUCUUGGUUCUGGCUCUCUUGAUCUCUUUUGUUCUAAAAGUGUGUAACUGUGUAUUGCCUUUAAAUUUUCCUUCUUGUUCAUUGCGACACCUUCGGUAUUUGGUAAUUCGUGAAGAAAUCUGCUGCUGAUACUUAAACUGCAGUUGUGCAUCUUAAUUUGUUCAGUCUGGAUUUGAGGAUCUCAAGCAAAAUCAGAUCUCAAAAUUUCCAUUCUUAAUUAUCAACAAGUAUGGCGGUGGGAGAGAUUUUUCUUGGGGCGUUCCUUCAAGUGCUGCUCGACAGAUUGGCGCCUCGCGAGAUCCUCAACUACUUUGGCCUCGCAAAGGGCGUCGACAAAAAGCUGAAUAAAUGGAGUGACAAUUUGUCUGCAAUCGUAGCGGUGCUGAAUGAUGCGGAGGAGAAGCAACUGAUAGAGCAUGGUGUGAAAUUGUGGCUGGAUGAACUUAGAGACUUGGCUUAUGAUGUAGAUGACGUGCUGGACAAAUUUGCUACUAAAAUAUUGAAGCGCCGGAUAAAGGGACGUGAUCAAGCCAGCACAAGUAAAAAGGUGCGGAGUUCAUUCUCUAAACUGAAACUCAAUUUCGAUAUGAACUCUGAGAUAAAGAAGAUUACAGAGCGGUUGCAAGAGAUCUCUGAACGGAAAGAUAAGUUUGGUUUAAAGGGCACCGGAACGUCUAGUAAAGCAUGGUCAAGGCCACCAACUUCAGGUGUGCUAGGUGGACUAACCAUUGUUGGAAGAGAUGGAGAUAAAGCAAAAAUAUUAGACAUGUUGUCGAGAGAUGAGCAUAAUAAUGUCAACUUUCAUGUUGUUGCCAUUGUUGGCAUGGCUGGCCUUGGGAAGACUACACUUGCUCAAUUUGCAUUCAACAACAACAGUGAUGUCAUGAAGGAGUUCGAGCCGAGGGUGUGGGUGUCUGUGUCCGAUGACUUCGACAUUGUAAGAGUGACGAAGGCAAUUCUUGAAUCAGUCACAUCUCAACCCGUUAAAGUAGAGGAGUUCAGUAAAAUGCAGCAUGAUUUGAAUGAGCAGUUAAGAGGUAAAAAGUUUUUAAUUGUUUUAGAUGAUAUUUGGAACAAAGGUGAUUUAUAUGAUCUGUGGACAAGACUUCAGUCCCCUUUUAGUGUUGGAGCACAAGGAAGUAAGAUAAUUGUGACAACACGAGACCUAAAAGUUGCAAAGAUUAUGGGAGCCACCGAAGUUCAUAACUUGGAGUCUGUGUCAGAUGAUAAUUGUUUGGAAAUAUUUGAGCAGCAUGCAUUUGUGAACAAUGAUAGACCACCAAAUUUUGAGUUGCUUCAGAAAAAAAUUGCUGAAAAAUGCAGUGGAUUGCCCUUAGCUGCAAGAACUCUUGGUGGGCUUUUACGUCAGAAUGAAAUAAACGAAUGGGAAGAAAUAUUGAACAACAAAUUGUGGAAUUUAUCAGGUAAGAGUGACAUUCUUCCGGUAUUAAAGUUGAGCUAUCACUAUCUUCCUUCCAACUUGAAGAGGUGUUUUGCCUAUUGCUCAAUAUUUCCAAAUGACUAUGAAUUUGGGGAGAAGCAAUUGAUCCUUUUAUGGAUGGCAGAGGGUUUGAUUCAACAACCACCAGAAGCCAAUAGACAAAUGGAGGAUUUAGGCCACGACUAUUUUCAAGAGCUAUUAUGUAGGUCAUUAUUUCAAAAGGCAAGUGAAAACAAUUCACGAUAUGUAAUGCAUGACCUUGUUACUGAUUUGGCACAAUGGGCAGCAGGAAAUACUUGUUUUAGAUUGGAGGACAAGAAAGGUGAUAACUUGCAAUCUGUAUGCUUUCGUCAUUCGUCUUUCAUAAUUGGUCACUAUGAUGGAGUUCAAAAGUUUGAGGCCUAUCGCGAAGUUAAACGUUUGCGAACAUUCCUGCCACUUUCACUAUCAGAUAUUUGGUGGAGUAGUCAAUGUCUGGCUCGUACGGUAAUUUUUGAUUUAUUACCUCAGAUGCAAUACUUACGGGUGCUUUCUUUGAAUGGCUAUCGAGUGACUGAGCUGCCAGAUUCAAUUGGUAAUUUGAAGUAUCUGCGGUAUCUUGAUUUUUCUCACACAGAUAUAACAAGUUUGCCUGAACCAACAACCACUCUUUUCAACUUACAGACACUGAUAUUGAAAGGUUGUAGUUUAUUGGAGGCACUACCCAUAAACUUGAGGAAUCUAGUGAAUCUGCGUCAUCUCAACAAUUCAGAGGUAGAUUCACUAAAAGCAAUGCCUCCGCAACUAGGUCGGUUGACAAAUCUGCAAUCUUUGCCUAAUUUUGUGGUGGGUAAAGGUAGUGAUGAAUCAGGGAUAAGAGAGAUAGGAUCCCUAUCCCAUCUCCGAGGGACAUUAUCGCUCUCAAGGUUGGAGAAUGUGAUCGAUGCUGAGGAUGCACGGAAGGCCGACUUAAAAUCCAAGGAGAGAGUAGAUGAAUUGGUGCUAGAAUGGUCGGAUAACACACAAGAAACGCAAUUAGGCGUGCUUGACAGAUUAGAACCUCAUAGAAAGCUUGAAAAACUCAUCAUCUGGGGUUAUGCUGGAUUAGAAUUUUCAACAUGGAUUGGAGAUCGUUUAUUCUCCACUAUGGUGCAUGUACGCUUAGACAAAUGUAAAAAUUGUCAAAUCUUGCCACCACUUGGGCAACUGCCUUUGCUCAAAGAACUUUAUAUUACAGGAAUGGCUGCAGUGAAAAGUGUCGGUCCUGAGUUUUAUGGAGAGAGUAGCUUGCCUUUUCCAGUACUGGAGACUCUUGAGUUUUCAGAUAUGCACAACUGGAAGAAAUGGCUUCCUUUCGAACAAGAUCAGGUUUUCCCUUGCUUGAAAUUGCUUUCAAUCAGAAAUUGUCCUCAAUUGGAGGGUAAGGUGCCCGAGAACCUUGAUUCAUUAGAAACACUUAAAAUUAUUAAAUGCGAGGAAUUGGUGAUUUCAAUUUCCAACUAUAAACAAAUUGGUGCAUUAGACAUCGACGGUUGCAAAGCGGUGGUGAAGACAAGUGGCGUUGAGUUUGAGUUAUUAGAGUCCUUGAAACUUUCAAAUAUUUCAGAGGUGAGGUUCCAAACAGGGGAAUUCACCAAAGGAUUAAGGAAGGUUGCAAAUUUGAGGAUUGGCGGAUGUGAGGAGCUGACAUCUUCACUGAAGAAUGAGGAUAGAGUAUUGCAACACUUGAUUUCUCUUGAUUCUUUGGUUAUUGAAGGAAACUCUUCCCUCCUUGAAAAGCUGGGAAAAGAAGCAGAGGAGUUGCUGCAAUUGCAAAUAUUGACUUGCAAGCUUAAAUAUCUGGAAUUAAACAAGUGUGCAAGUCUUUCGAAGGUACCAGAAGGGUUGCAUCACCUAACGGCUCUUCAAGACCUUCAAAUAGUUGGAUGCUCAAGUCUGGUUUCUUUUCCAGAUGUUGGUCUGCCUCCUUCCCUUGAAGUCAUAAGGAUUGAGGAGUGUGAUUCGUUGCUGUAUUUCGCAAAAUACCAGAUUCCCCCAAAUCUAAGAAGAAUAGAGAUAAGGAGGUGUAAAAGUUUGAAAUCAUUAGUAGAGAAAGAGGAGGAUAGUUCUUCGUCUUCCUCUUCUUCUCAUAUUUCUCUUGAGCACUUGGAAAUACGGGUAUGUGAAUCUCUAACGUCGUUAUCAUUGAGAGCCCAGUUGUUUCCCAGGGCGCUUAAACGCCUUCACAUAUCCGAUUGUGGAGAGCUGCAGUUAAUAAUGUCCGAUGAGUUAGCCCACGACAACACUAAUUAUUGUCUUGAAUAUAUUAGCAUCGAUUCUUGCCCAAAUCUGAAAUCCUUACCGGAGGGCCUAUGCCACCUCACCAAUCUUCAAACUUUACAGAUUUAUGAUUGUGGGAGUCUGGUUUCCAUCCCGAGCCUGAGUGGUGAGGGUUUGCCUUCGCCAACAACAACAGCCGCCUCCAGCCUGAAAGAAAUCACAUCGAAAAUUGCAACAAAUUGGAGAUGUUACCGGACAUGUGCAAUCUCAACUGUCUUCAGGAAUUGAAUAUUGAUUACGGUGAAGGUUUAAAUUUCACUUCCUUUCCCCCCAACCUAACAUCACUUACAAUUAGUGGAUUCAAGAAUUGUAAGCCGCUGUGGGAGUUGUUGCACAGGCUCACCUCUCUUACAGGCUUGUUCAUUAGUGGUGAAGACCCAAGUGUGGUGUCAUUUCCACCCGACAGUUACAGGGAGAUGGAGAUGGAGAUUCUUCUCCCCAAAUCUCUCACUGUUCUCUCAAUUGCUGGCUUCCCAAAUCUGAAGAAACUGAGCAGCAAGGGCUUUCAAUUCCUCACCUCUCUUCAAUCUCUUCAACUCUGUGAUUGUCCAAAGCUGGCAUCUAUUCCAGUGGAGGGGUUGCCUAUUUCACUGAGGGAACUUAAAAUCAUUAGGUGUCCUCUGCUAAAAGAUAAAUGCCAGCCUGGAAGUAAAGGACGAUACCUGCCCAAAAUAUCCCACAUCCCCCGCAUAAAGAUAUGGCCUUAGAAGACGGUUUGAAGAUGAUGAGAACCCACACCGACACAUGGACAUGGUCAACUCCGACUCUCACUCUCCCCAGGAAGUGCAUUUAAGCCAGAUUAGAUCAGCAAAUUCACAUCACUUCAAGAUGACCGUCUCCCAUCCUGACUGGGGAUUCCCCAACCUCCCACUGCGAUUUACUCUUUUUAAGGCCUCGAUAAAAUUGACCUAGUCCUCGCAUGAUGUCUGGUCCAGUGUGAGAGGGUUAAAAGAAGGGACUGCCUCUCUUGCUUCCAGAGCUGCAGGGUGAAGAGCUGUGAAAGGACUGGAUAGCAACAAGGUCAUUUCAUAUCGUGGUAACAUCAACUGAAGAUGGUAAAUCACUACCUUUCUGUUUCAAGUUUCAGAGUUUUAAUAUUUUGCCAUUUGGUUUGCCUUGUAAUAUUUUGCCAUUUGGUUUGCCCUGUAAUAUUUUGUCAUCUCUGUACUGAGAAAACUUUUACCCAUAUUUCUCUUUCUUUUGUUUGAUUGUAUUCAAGUUGGUAGGUUUACUUAAUCUUAGCUUAAGAUUUGAACCCUGACCCCUUUACAAUCUUUAGAGGACUUGUAGAGCUAGCAGUUUUUAAAGGACAUCACGUAACCAAGUGUUAUUCUUUGUUCUUUUAAACAGAAAUGUCGACUGAACCUGCCAGAUAUUUGUGACAAAUUCUUGAUAUUUGCACUGA
Molecule: RNA transcript, 5166 nt
Organism: Prunus dulcis (almond)
Lineage: Eukaryota; Viridiplantae; Streptophyta; Magnoliopsida; Rosales; Rosaceae
Gene name: putative disease resistance RPP13-like protein 1
Exons: 4
Source: RefSeq, a predicted model, not a curated record